AAAAAACAAAAAAAAAACUUGUUGUGAAAACGUUUCCUUUAAAUAAUUGAUACAGUAUGGAGAUGAUGCCAUCUUGAUCCGGGAACAAGGUAGGUUUAGAUAUUAAUGAAAUAGAGGAAUUUAAAGGGAUCCAUCUACCAUUUGAUUGAUUUUUGAAUGUGUCAUUGGCUGUUUCUAACGAGGAUUUGGACAUGAGAGGCCCCAAUGUUUGGGGACUGGAGCUUGAUGGGGAAAC
RNAcentral lists this long non-coding RNA (235 nucleotides) under Vitis vinifera (wine grape). Its description in RNAcentral is "long non-coding RNA (VVIN_LNC007855)". Lineage: Eukaryota; Viridiplantae; Streptophyta; Magnoliopsida; Vitales; Vitaceae. The record is from RNAcentral.